This 301-nucleotide ribosomal RNA is filed under the name uncultured bacterium. Its description in RNAcentral is "partial 16S ribosomal RNA". It matches the Rfam family "Bacterial small subunit ribosomal RNA", at positions 509 to 807 of the family's 1533-position model. The record is from RNAcentral.
CAGCAGCCGCUGUAAUACGAAGGGGGCUAGCGUUGCUCGGAUUUACUGGGCGUAAAGCGCACGUAGGCGGACUUUUAAGUCAGGGGUGAAAUCCCGGGGCUCAACCCCGGAACUGCCUUUGAUACUGGGAGUCUUGAGUUCGAGAGAGGUGAGUGGAAUUGCGAGUGUAGAGGUGAAAUUCGUAGAUAUUCGCAGGAACACCAGUGGCGAAGGCGGCUCACUGGCUCGAUACUGACGCUGAGGUGCGAAAGCGUGGGGAGCAAACAGGAUUAGAUACCCGAGUAGUCCCUGUCUCUUAUAC